GUCUGCUUAGCUUAAUGGUCAAGCACCCAAGAACAGUAUGUGAUUACCAGCGUUAUUUGGAAGUUGCAAGUUCGAAUCUUGCAGUGGACA
Molecule: non-coding RNA, 90 nt
Organism: Lentinula raphanica
Lineage: Eukaryota; Fungi; Basidiomycota; Agaricomycetes; Agaricales; Omphalotaceae
Source: the annotation of a GenBank genome assembly